Molecule: transfer RNA, 88 nt
Organism: Cladophialophora psammophila CBS 110553
Lineage: Eukaryota; Fungi; Ascomycota; Eurotiomycetes; Chaetothyriales; Herpotrichiellaceae
Rfam family: tRNA
About the family: Transfer RNA (tRNA) molecules are approximately 80 nucleotides in length. Their secondary structure includes four short double-helical elements and three loops (D, anti-codon, and T loops). Further hydrogen bonds mediate the characteristic L-shaped molecular structure. tRNAs have two regions of fundamental functional importance: the anti-codon, which is responsible for specific mRNA codon recognition, and the 3' end, to which the tRNAs corresponding amino acid is attached (by aminoacyl-tRNA synthetases). tRNAs cope with the degeneracy of the genetic code in two manners: having more than one tRNA (with a specific anti-codon) for a particular amino acid; and 'wobble' base-pairing, i.e. permitting non-standard base-pairing at the 3rd anti-codon position.
Source: Rfam
GGGCGCAUAGCUCAGGGGUAGAGCGCUCGCUUUGCAUUCUCCUUACAUCGCAUGCGAGAGGUCGUGGGUUCAAUUCCCACUGUGUCCA